RNAcentral lists this ribosomal RNA (490 nucleotides) under uncultured bacterium. RNAcentral describes it as "partial 16S ribosomal RNA". It matches the Rfam family "Bacterial small subunit ribosomal RNA", at positions 30 to 507 of the family's 1533-position model. The record is from RNAcentral.
AUUGAACGCUGGCGGCAGGCCUAACACAUGCAAGUCGAACGGUAACAGGAAGACGCUUGCUUCUUUGCUGACGAGUGGCGGCCGGGUGAGUAAUGUCUGGGAAACUGCCUGAUGGAGGGGGAUAACUACUGGAAACGGUAGCUAAUACCGCAUAACGUCGCAAGACCAAAAAGGGGGACCUUCGGGCCUCUUGCCAUCGGAUGUGCCCAGAUGGGAUUAGCUAGUAGGUGGGGUAACGGCUCACCUAGGCGACGAUCCCUAGCUGGUCUGAGAGGAUGACCAGCCACACUGGAACUGAGACACGGUCCAGACUCCUACGGGAGGCAGCAGUGGGGAAUAUUGCACAAUGGGCGCAAGCCUGAUGCAGCCAUGCCGCGUGUAUGAAGAAGGCCUUCGGGUUGUAAAGUACUUUCAGCGGGGAGGAAGGGAGUAAAGUUAAUACCUUUGCUCAUUGACGUUACCCGCAGAAGAAGCACCGGCUAACUCCGUG